Molecule: RNA transcript, 3090 nt
Organism: Manihot esculenta (cassava)
Lineage: Eukaryota; Viridiplantae; Streptophyta; Magnoliopsida; Malpighiales; Euphorbiaceae
Gene name: anoctamin-like protein At1g73020
Exons: 17
Source: RefSeq, a predicted model, not a curated record
CACCAUUCAUAAUUAUUCAACUGUGGAUAAAAUAUUUCCAAUUUCUUCUUUUUCACAAAAACCGAGGAUGCAUAGAAAGACUCACCUAAUGGAUUACAAUUAUAUUUUACCAAAACGGCAAAACUAUGAGCAAAAACCAAAGAAACCGCUAUCACCUUCUUCAAUCCACGUGUCUCUCUUUCUCUCUCUGUCUCCUUCCUCUCCAUUACAACAAGCUCCUCCCCUUUACCCGAUUUCUCAGACACCUGUUCUCCUUCUCUCUCUCUCUCUCUCUCUCUCUCUCUUUCUCUCUCUCCAUCCAUCUACCAAUGUGCUAUCUUGUCACGAACCCACAUUGUCAUUUUAAUGGAAUUGAUCUCUCUGGCUUUGUGUUUUGAGCUAAAAGGAAGAGGGGGGAAAAAAUCCCAUUUUCUUUUUGAGCCAUUUCAAGAGAAACUCUGAUCUAUUUUCUGGUAUUAGGUUUGGUUGGUUAUGAACAUAGCAGCUCUUUUGGCUUUUAGUUAAAAGGUCAUCUCUUUUGCAUAUUAAUACUUUCCUUAUUUAAUGGCAAACACGGGAAUUCAUCAUCUCUGUAUGCUAAUUCAGCCAUGAAUUGCCUAUUUGGUUGAUAGAGCUUCUUUUUGUCCUUCGAACUUUUCUGGGGUAAUUUCUUUCGUCAAUUUUGGGCUUGAAGGGGUGAGUGAGAUUGGAAAUGAAUGAUCAUGGAGACAAACAAACUGCUUUUGAGAUGUGCGUGGUGGUUCCAAGGAGUAUUGUGAAGAAAGAAGAUAAGAAAUAUGACUGCAUUGAGGUUCUUAUCAAGGAGUUGAAGAAUGUGGGAUUUAUUAUAGACAGAGCUGUUGGCCUAACAGAUGAGUUCAUCAAGUUGGCAGCACCUCUGCAGACCUUGGGGAAGGCUGCAGCUGAGUUGCAAAUGAAGAAGCUUACUUAUAUUGCAAAGUAUGUGCACUCGGGAGAAUUAGGCCUAUGCUUAACUUUGAUUUCAGGAAUGGAUCUACAGUUUGAAUGGGAGGAAGUUAAAGCAUUUGUGAGACAACCAGAUGGUUCAUUGUUUAGCUGGUGUGAACGUUUUGAGUGCUACCAUCAUUUAUUAUAUGGCAUUGUAAACAAGAGCAAGGUAGAUGCUAUGUUAAAAUGGGAAGACAAAGAAUAUAUCUGGGAAGUUGGGGAAUCUUUGCUGCGGAGAUUGGAGUCUGCGGGCAUUGUUAAACAAGUCUUUCCUCUGCAUGUUGAAAUUAAGAGGAAGGAGCUUCUGAGAAGCUGGGUGCUCAACUGGCGGAACUUCACAAACCAGCCCAUUGAUGUCAUGUAUUCCUAUUUUGGGAUGAAGAUUGCCAUCUAUUUUGCUUUCCUUCGCAUGUAUACACAUUGGAUGCUCUUUCCAGCUGCGUAUGGGCUUAUAGUCCAGUUUGUUGACUUUGGAUCGAUGCAGUUUCUAGUUCUCCCAGUAUUCUUCAUAAGCAUAAUAUUGUGGGCAGCAUUGUUUUUCCAGUUUUGGAAACGUAAAAACUCUGCCCUUUUAGCCAGAUGGCAGAUACAUUAUUCAGCCACUGCUGGCCAAGGAUGUAAAUUUUUGGGUAUGGAAUGGAGUUCCUUACAGUCACCUCUAGAACUUGUAAAAAAUUUGGGGAUUGAUAAAGUAAAAGAGAGAGAAGCGUAUCAAAGACAUGAAUGGUUUGGGCAUCUCAUGCGGUUUAGAAAUAAUGCUAUCAUUAUUUUGAGUAUUAUCUGCCUUCAGUUACCAUUUGAGUUGGCCUAUGCUCAUCUUUAUGAGGUUAUGGAUUCGGAUGUGAUGAAGUUUGGGCUGACAGCUGCUUAUCUUAUUCUCAUUCAGUAUUUUACGAAGAUUGGGGGCAAGAUAUCAAUGAAACUCAUACAAUAUGAAAAUAAUGAAAACACAGAAUAUCAGGCUGACAGCUUGGUCUACAAAGUAUUUGGCCUUUACUUUAUGCAGUCGUAUAUAGGAGUUUUCUAUCAUGCCCUUCUACAUCGCAACUUCAAGACUCUUCGCCAGGUUUUAAUUCAGCGUCUGAUUGUGUACCAGAUCUUGGAGAAUGUGUUGGAGAAUUCAUUACCUUAUCUCAAAUACAGCUAUAAAAAAUAUAGGGCUGUUAGAAAUAAGAAAAAAGAGAAGAAACAAACCUCAAAUGUGAAGAUCCAGUUCAACACCAAGGUGGAGAAAGAGUACCUAAAACCUUCAUAUUCUGCAAGUAUUGGUGAAGAACUAGAAGAUGGUCUUUUUGAUGAUUUCCUUCAGUUAACUUUGCAGUUUGGAAUGGUCAUGAUGUUUGCUUGUGCUUUUCCCCUUGCAUUUGCCUUUGCUGCCGUGAACAGCUUCACACAGCUUAAAACAGAUGCAUUGAGGUUGCUCACCAUGUUGAAAAGGCCAGUUCCUCGUGCUGCUGCCACCAUUGGAGCUUGGCUAAACAUAUUUCAGUUUCUAAUAGUGAUGUCAAUCUGCACCAACUCUGCACUACUAGUAUGCUUAUAUGACAAGGAGGGCAAAUGGAAAAUAGAGCCUGGGCUGGCUGCAAUUCUCAUGCUGGAGCACAUCCUCUUGCUGAUUAAAUUUGGAUUGUCUCGCUUUCUUCCUGAGGAACCUGCUUGGGUAAGAGCCAACCGAGUGAAGAAUGCAGCGCAGGCACAGGGCAUGUAUUCUAAACAGCUUUUGAAAAGCAUUUCUGGACAAGGAAGGUUAAUGGGGCAUCAUAGGACCUUGUGAUUAUGUUGAUAGAGAAGUAAACCAGGGACAAAUGGGGAUGAGUUUUUGAAAUUUUGAUAGUCACCAGGAAUCAGUACAGAUGAAUCUUGUAUCGUGGGGUUUGUUUCCUUUGUGACUGCUAUGCUCGAAUGAUUUACUGGAGUUAUUUUGGGAAGAAAUACCAGUGAUAAUUUUGUUUUUAAAGUAUAAAGAGGGAGAGAAAUCUUCACAGGUGACAUGUUAACCUGGUGAAGAGCUUUAUCUUUACACUCUGGAAAUUUGAACAGUUGCUGCAUUGCUUAUGUUAUGAAUUUGCACAAUCUGUAAGAAGCUCACAUCAUGCUUGUACUAAUCAAAUUGCAACGGGAAUUUUACGUUAUCUUUAAAUU